AUGGGAGCUCUACUUGGUGCCAAUCUCUUCGCCUCUGUUACCUCGACUAUCAGCUCUCUAUCGCAUCAUUGUCUUGGUCACUUGUGUGGCUCUCGUCCCUCAUCCUUAGUUCGACGUGGAUAUGUCUCCGGUGUUGGGUCUUUAGACUGUCAGGUUUGUCUGCUUGGUAAACAGUUCUGUUAUUUCAUCCUCAUAGAGAGACGGUUUCUCAACGCCCUUUCGAUCUUGUUCACUCUGAUGUUUGGGAUCCAACUCCAUUUGCCUCGAAAAUUUCUUUACUAUAUUAUCUUUAUAGAUGAUUUCUCUAUAAGAAGUUUGUCGUCAUAG
RNAcentral lists this ribosomal RNA (327 nucleotides) under Triticum aestivum (bread wheat). Its description in RNAcentral is "partial small subunit ribosomal RNA". Lineage: Eukaryota; Viridiplantae; Streptophyta; Magnoliopsida; Poales; Poaceae. The record is from RNAcentral.